UGGGUGUGAAAUCCGAACAACAUAAAGUAGAUGAAUGUAGUCAUUUCAAUAAUGAUUGAGCACAUUUAUUGCAAUUUAGCAAUCACAUUUAUGAUUUAUUCAUACAAGUGCAAAUUUACCUUCCCUUCCACGACUCUAACAUUACUCUUGAAGUUGUAGGAUAUUAUCAUCAAUAGUUAAGCAACCCACUUUAGCAAACAAAUUGAUAGUAAGCACG
This 217-nucleotide long non-coding RNA is filed under the name Solanum tuberosum (potato). RNAcentral describes it as "long non-coding RNA (STUB_LNC010093)". Lineage: Eukaryota; Viridiplantae; Streptophyta; Magnoliopsida; Solanales; Solanaceae. The record is from RNAcentral.